Molecule: ribosomal RNA, 492 nt
Filed under: uncultured bacterium
Lineage: Bacteria
Description: partial 16S ribosomal RNA
Rfam family: Bacterial small subunit ribosomal RNA
Source: RNAcentral
AGUGAACGCUGGCGGUAGGCCUAACACAUGCAAGUCGAACGGCAGCACAGUAAGAGCUUGCCUUUACGGGUGGCGAGUCGCGGACGGGAGAGGAAUACAUCGGAAUAUACUUUUUCGGGGGGGAACACGUAGGGAAACUUACGCUAACAGCGCAUACGACCUACGGGAGAAAGCAGGGGAUCUUCGGACCUUGCGCGAUUGAAUGAGACGAUAUCGGAUUAGCUAGUUGGUGGGGUAAGGGCCUACCAAGGCGACGAUCAGUAGCGGGUCUGAGAGGAUGAUCCGCCACACUGGGACUGAGACACGGCCCAGACUCCUACGGGAGGCAGCAGUGGGGAAUUUUGGACAAUGGGCGCAAGCCUGAUCCAGCCAUGCCGCGUGUCUGAAGAAGGCCUUCGGGUUGUAAAGGACUUUUGUUAGGGAAGAAAAAGGAGCGGUUAAUACCCGUUUCUGCUGACGGUACCUAAAGAAUAAGCACCGGCUAACUACGUG